This 484-nucleotide ribosomal RNA is filed under the name uncultured bacterium. Its description in RNAcentral is "partial 16S ribosomal RNA". It matches the Rfam family "Bacterial small subunit ribosomal RNA", at positions 30 to 507 of the family's 1533-position model. The record is from RNAcentral.
AUUGAACGCUGGCGGCAGGCCUAACACAUGCAAGUCGAGCGGAUGAAGGGAGCUUGCUCCUGGAUUCAGCGGCGGACGGGUGUGUAAUGCCCAGGAAUCUGCCUGGCAGUGGGUGAUGACGUCCGCAAACGGGCGCUAAUACCGCAUACGUCCAGAGGGAGCAAGUGGGGGAUCUUCGGACCUCACGCUCUCAGAUGAGCCUAGGUCGGGUUAGCUAGCUGGUGGGGUAAGUGCCUACCUAGGCGGCGAUCGGUAACUGGUCUGAGAGGAUGAUCAGUCACACUGGAACUGAGACACGGUCCAGACUCCUACGGGAGGCAGCAGUGGGGAAUAUUGGACAAUGGGCGAAAGCCUGAUCCAGCCAUGCCGCGUGUGUGAAGAAGGUCUUCGGAGUGUAAAGCACGUUAAGGUGGGAGGAAGGGCAGUAAGUUAAGACGUUGCUGUUUUGACGGUACCAACAGAAUAAGCACCGGCUAACUACGUG